Schistosoma mansoni is the source of this 48-nucleotide non-coding RNA. NCBI's taxonomy places the organism in Eukaryota, Metazoa, Platyhelminthes, Trematoda, Strigeidida, Schistosomatidae. The record is from Rfam.
AUCCAGUUGACGAGUCCCAAAUGGGACGAAACGCGCGUCAAACUGGAU